RNAcentral lists this ribosomal RNA (451 nucleotides) under uncultured bacterium. Its description in RNAcentral is "partial 16S ribosomal RNA". It matches the Rfam family "Bacterial small subunit ribosomal RNA", at positions 354 to 796 of the family's 1533-position model. The record is from RNAcentral.
GUGGGGAAUAUUGGACAAUGGGGGGAACCCUGAUCCAGCCAUGCCGCGUGUGUGAAGAAGGCCUUUUGGUUGUAAAGCACUUUAAGCGAGGAGGAGGCUACCGAGAUUAAUACUCUUGGAUAGUGGACGUUACUCGCAGAAUAAGCACCGGCUAACUCUGUGUCAGCAGCCGCGGUAAUACAGAGGGUGCAAGCGUUAAUCGGAUUUACUGGGCGUAAAGCGCGCGUAGGUGGCCAAUUAAGUCAAAUGUGAAAUCCCCGAGCUUAACUUGGGAAUUGCAUUCGAUACUGGUUGGCUAGAGUAUGGGAGAGGAUGGUAGAAUUCCAGGUGUAGCGGUGAAAUGCGUAGAGAUCUGGAGGAAUACCGAUGGCGAAGGCAGCCAUCUGGCCUAAUACUGACACUGAGGUGCGAAAGCAUGGGGAGCAAACAGGAUUAGAUACCCUGGUAGUCC